CAAUAACAAUUAGGGAUGAAUUAUUAAUUUAUUUUGAAUUUUAGGGGAAAAAGUUGAGGGAAAAAAUCUAAAGAGACAAUUUUCUAAGCGCUUUUAUCCGUGUUUCUGCUUUACGUUAUUAGUGUAAUUUGACCUGUGGCUGUAACUUUUGUCUAAUUCUUAUGUUCUUAUUUUAAUCUGUUUAAUAAAAAAUCAGAAAUUUUGUGGGUUUAAACUAAUUGAAUGUUUAUUAAUUCAGGUGUGAUUUGAGAGUAGUAAGCGAUGCAAACGUAUUCUUCAUAGAGACAAUCUUGAAACAUCUGGGAAUAAGGAAUUGUUUCUCAGAAAUCAACACAAACCCAGGCUAUGUUGAUGAGGAAGGAAGACUCCAAAUCCUACCUUAUGUUGAUUUUCAAACAUCUCCUCAUGACUGCAAUCUUUGCGCUCCCAACAUGUGCAAGGGUUUGAUAGUAGAGAGAAUACAAGCCGCUAUGGCUAAGGAAGGGAAGAAAAGAAUUAUAUAUCUUGGUGAUGGAAUCGGCGAUUUCUGCCCCAGUUUGAAGCUCAGAGAUCAGAAAAAUCAAGAAGAAGAUUGGAAAAAAUGGGGAAGCCAUUGGGUCGGGUGAGCUAAGUGGGUCGAAAUGGUAUUCAUUUUUGUUUCAGUCAGAGAUUGUCACGUGGCCCAGUAGAAAAAUAACACGUCAUUAAAUGUAGGCCCACCAGUUUUGCCGUUAGUCGCGGGAGUAAUUUUGUUAAUAGAAUUAACGUCGUGUGUUUUUUUGGACGGAUAGAUAGACGGAGGGUAUUUAUAAAUCAUUUAGCAAACGAUAGGGAUAGUGUUGACCCUUCUCCGUUUAAUUUAACAAUAGAAAAAAUUUAUCGUUUUA
This is a long non-coding RNA of Nicotiana tabacum (common tobacco), 866 nucleotides long. RefSeq lists it as uncharacterized. The record is from RefSeq and is a predicted model, not a curated record. NCBI's taxonomy places the organism in Eukaryota, Viridiplantae, Streptophyta, Magnoliopsida, Solanales, Solanaceae.